This 320-nucleotide unclassified non-coding RNA is filed under the name plant metagenome. RNAcentral's name for it is "partial contains 5.8S ribosomal RNA, internal transcribed spacer 2, and large subunit ribosomal RNA". The stretch from base 1 to 105 matches the Rfam family "5.8S ribosomal RNA", at positions 50 to 154 of the family's 154-position model. The record is from RNAcentral.
GAAAUGCGAUAAGUAGUGUGAAUUGCAGAAUUCAGUGAAUCAUCGAAUCUUUGAACGCACAUUGCGCCCCUCGGUAUUCCGUGGGGCAUGCCUGUUCGAGCGUCAUCUACACCCUCAGGCCCCCGGGCCUGGCGUUGGGGAUCGGCGGAAGCCCCCUGCGGGCACAACGCCGUCCCCCAAAUACAGUGGCGGUCCCGCCGCAGCUUCCAUUGCGUAGUAGCUAACACCUCGCAACUGGAGAGCGGCGCGGCCACGCCGUAAAACACCCAACUUCUGAAUGUUGACCUCGAAUCAGGUAGGAAUACCCGCUGAACUUAAGC